AAAAUUCCUCGUUAGCAUGAGGCGUUUGCACAAACACAGGCUGCUGCCCAGAAAUGUCGAAAGACGCCAAUGGGUAGACAAGGUAUGGUCGGCAUAAGGCUUUACCCGAGGUAGCUGGUUCUUCGAAAACCUACGUUGUGCACUGCCGAAAGUCUACGAGUGGGGAAAUGA
RNAcentral lists this small RNA (171 nucleotides) under Syntrophobacter fumaroxidans. RNAcentral's name for it is "Magnesium sequence". It matches the Rfam family "M-box riboswitch aptamer (ykoK leader)". From Rfam's summary of the family: M-box riboswitch, also know as ykoK leader is described as a metaloregulatory RNA that sense divalent metals and function as a genetic control element of genes related to divalent metal transport in bacteria. It was first reported upstream of the B.subtilis ykoK gene and genes with related functions in other bacteria. RNAcentral also lists the same sequence under 1 other name. The record is from RNAcentral. Lineage: Bacteria; Pseudomonadati; Thermodesulfobacteriota; Syntrophobacteria; Syntrophobacterales; Syntrophobacteraceae.